AUUGAACGCUGGCGGCAUGCCUUACACAUGCAAGUCGAACGGCAGCACGGGAGCAAUCCUGGUGGCGAGUGGCGAACGGGUGAGUAAUAUAUCGGAACGUGCCCAGUCGUGGGGGAUAACGCAGCGAAAGCUGUGCUAAUACCGCAUACGAUCUACGGAUGAAAGCGGGGGAUCGCAAGACCUCGCGCGAUUGGAGCGGCCGAUAUCAGAUUAGCUAGUUGGUGAGGUAAAGGCUCACCAAGGCGACGAUCUGUAGCUGGUCUGAGAGGACGACCAGCCACACUGGAAAUGAGACACGGUCCAGACUCCUACGGGAGGCAGCAGUGGUGAAUUUUGGACAAUGGGCGCAAGCCUGAUCCAGCAAUGCCGCGUGCAGGAUGAAGGCCUUCGGGUUGUAAACUGCUUUUGUACGGAACGAAACGGUGAGCUCUAAUACAGUUUGCUAAUGACGGUACCGUAAGAAUAAGCACUGGCUAACUACGUGCCAGCCGCCGCCGUAA
Molecule: ribosomal RNA, 500 nt
Filed under: uncultured bacterium
Lineage: Bacteria
Description: partial 16S ribosomal RNA
Rfam family: Bacterial small subunit ribosomal RNA
Source: RNAcentral